This is a small nuclear RNA of Mustela putorius furo (domestic ferret), 102 nucleotides long. NCBI's taxonomy places the organism in Eukaryota, Metazoa, Chordata, Mammalia, Carnivora, Mustelidae. The record is from Ensembl.
AUUUUGCCUUAAAAGAGAUAGUUGAUCGAACUAGAACAAUACAUAGAAGCAAGGCCCUUGCACACGGACAACACGCAGAUUUAUGAAGCGUCCCAUAUGUGU